Molecule: non-coding RNA, 357 nt
Organism: Myotis lucifugus (little brown bat)
Lineage: Eukaryota; Metazoa; Chordata; Mammalia; Chiroptera; Vespertilionidae
Source: the annotation of a RefSeq genome assembly
AUGGUGUGCCGGAGUGUGCUGUGGGCAUUCGUGGUCUCCACCUGCCUUGGAUCCAGCGUGGCCCAGAAGGUCACUCAGCCUCAACAAGAAAUGUCUGUGCAGGAGACAGAGACCGCGACCCUGGCCUGCACAUAUGACACUAGUGGGACUGAUUAUUAUUUGUUCUGGUACAAACAACCUCCCAGUGGGGAGAUGAUUUUCAUUAUCCGCCAAGAGGCUUUUAAGCAACAAAAUGCAACAGAUCAUCGCUUCUUUGUCAACUUCCAGAAAGCAACCAAAAACUUCAGCCUCAGGAUCUCAGACUGCCAGCUGGAGGAUGCUGCAGUGUAUUUCUGUGCUCUCAGAGGGGCACAGUGA